This 484-nucleotide ribosomal RNA is filed under the name uncultured bacterium. Its description in RNAcentral is "partial 16S ribosomal RNA". It matches the Rfam family "Bacterial small subunit ribosomal RNA", at positions 30 to 507 of the family's 1533-position model. The record is from RNAcentral.
AUUGAACGCUGGCGGCAGGCCUAACACAUGCAAGUCGAGCGGAUGAAGGGAGCUUGCUCCUGGAUUCAGCGGCGGACGGGUGAGUAAUGCCUAGGAAUCUGCCUGGUAGUGGGGGAUAACGUCCGGAAACGGGCGCUAAUACCGCAUACGUCCUGAGGGAGAAAGUGGGGGAUCUUCGGACCUCACGCUAUCAGAUGAGCCUAGGCCGGAUUAGCUAGUUGGUGGGGUAAAGGCCUACCAAGGCGACGAUCCGUAACUGGUCUGAGAGGAUGAUCAGUCGCACUGGAACUGAGACACGGUCCAGACUCCUACGGGAGGCAGCAGUGGGGAAUAUUGGACAAUGGGCGAAAGCCUGAUCCAGCCAUGCCGCGUGUGUGAAGAAGGUCUUCGGAUUGUAAAGCACUUUAAGUUGGGAGGAAGGGCAGUAAGUUAAUACCUUGCUGUUUUGACGUUACCAACAGAAUAAGCACCGGCUAACUUCGUG